GGGCGAGUGGCGGAAUUGGCAGACGCAAAGGACUUAAAAUCCUUCGGUCGCAAGACUGUGAGGGUUCAAGUCCCUCCUCGCCCACCA
Molecule: transfer RNA, 87 nt
Filed under: Candidatus Omnitrophota bacterium
Lineage: Bacteria; Pseudomonadati; Candidatus Omnitrophota
Description: tRNA-Leu
Rfam family: tRNA
About the family: Transfer RNA (tRNA) molecules are approximately 80 nucleotides in length. Their secondary structure includes four short double-helical elements and three loops (D, anti-codon, and T loops).
Source: RNAcentral